Molecule: ribosomal RNA, 497 nt
Filed under: uncultured bacterium
Lineage: Bacteria
Description: partial 16S ribosomal RNA
Rfam family: Bacterial small subunit ribosomal RNA
Source: RNAcentral
GAUGAACGCUGGCGGCGUGCCUAAUACAUGCAAGUCGAGCGAACGGACGAGAAGCUUGCUUCUCUGAUGUUAGCGGCGGACGGGUGAGUAACACGUGGAUAACCUACCUAUAAGACUGGGAUAACUUCGGGAAACCGGAGCUAAUACCGGAUAAUAUUUUGAACCGCAUGGUUCAAAAGUGAAAGACGGUCUUGCGGUCACUUAUAGAUGGAUCCGCGCUGCAUUAGCUAGUUGGUAAGGUAACGGCUUACCAAGGCAACGCUGCAUAGCCGACCUGAGAGGGUGAUCGGCCACACUGGAACUGAGACACGGUCCAGACUCCUACGGGAGGCAGCAGUAGGGAAUCUUCCGCAAUGGGCGAAAGCCUGACGGAGCAACGCCGCGUGAGUGAUGAAGGUCUUCGGAUCGUAAAACUCUGUUAUUAGGGAAGAACAUAUGUGUAAGUAACUGUGCACAUCUUGACGGUACCUAAUCAGAAAGCCACGGCUAACUACGUG